AUUGAACGCUGGCGGCAUGCCUUACACAUGCAAGUCGAACGGUAACAGGUCUUCGGAUGCUGACGAGUGGCGAACGGGUGAGUAAUACAUCGGAACGUGCCUAGUAGUGGGGGAUAACUACUCGAAAGAGUGGCUAAUACCGCAUGAGAUCUACGGAUGAAAGCAGGGGAUCGCAAGACCUUGUGCUACUAGAGCGGCCGGUGGCAGAUUAGGUAGUUGGUGGGAUAAAAGCUUACCAAGCCGACGAUCUGUAGCUGGUCUGAGAGGACGAUCAGCCACACUGGGACUGAGACACGGCCCAGACUCCUACGGGAGGCAGCAGUGGGGAAUUUUGGACAAUGGGCGAAAGCCUGAUCCAGCAAUGCCGCGUGCAGGAUGAAGGCCUUCGGGUUGUAAACUGCUUUUGUACGGAACGAAAAGCCCCGGGUUAAUACCCUGGGGUCAUGACGGUACCGUAAGAAUAAGCACCGGCUAACUACGUGCCAGCUGCCGCAGUAA
This 498-nucleotide ribosomal RNA is filed under the name uncultured bacterium. Its description in RNAcentral is "partial 16S ribosomal RNA". It matches the Rfam family "Bacterial small subunit ribosomal RNA", at positions 30 to 523 of the family's 1533-position model. The record is from RNAcentral.